UGUUCGUUUGUUGAUGUGUUACAUAUUUGAUUUUCAUUCAUCUUUUUGUACGUUAAUUAGGCCGUUAUUUUUCUCGUUCGAAUUAUUUCAUAUUUGUUAUUACCGGGCCUUUUAUAGCUGAUUAUGCGGUAUGGGCUUUUCUUAUUGAUGAAGGUCGUGAGGUGACUUGUAGUUGUUAAUUUCUGUUCAUUUGUGUCAUUUGGUCUCUUGUG
Molecule: long non-coding RNA, 212 nt
Filed under: Mytilus galloprovincialis (Mediterranean mussel)
Lineage: Eukaryota; Metazoa; Mollusca; Bivalvia; Mytilida; Mytilidae
Source: RNAcentral